Molecule: long non-coding RNA, 2678 nt
Filed under: Homo sapiens (human)
Lineage: Eukaryota; Metazoa; Chordata; Mammalia; Primates; Hominidae
Description: HSALNT0190921
Source: RNAcentral
CAGCAAACACUUCAAGAAUUUACUGCUAUUGCUUUUCAGAUAAAUGACUUGGGGUGUGAAAAACAGCACAUCCGCCCUGUGGUUGAGCAUUGUUUUCUGCUUUCAGCAGCCUGAAGCCAUAGUUUUUAGUUUCUGUCUCUAGUGAUAAGCGAAAAAGAGGGAGGAGGAAGGGGAUUUACUGGCCCAACCAGAAACAGAAACUAAGAACCCAUGACUGUGUUCUCUCCCUUGGAUACUCCUGGAAGUGAUAAAAAGAGAAAGACUUAUAUUUUCCUGGAGAUCCCAAGGAAGCCAUGCUCAUCUUUGUUCCUCAAUGCUGGCCAAAAAUUUCGCCUCCCCUUGAAACAGGGGAAAGAGGGUGCAUUUGUAUGAUAGAACCCUUGUCCUAACACAUUGCUGAGAAUAGGAAAUCAGGACACCCUAGAGGCAAUUACAUAAAUCUUCUGCAAUAUCCUCAACAAGUCACCGUCUAAUCUCUGCCUGUACACCAACAGUGAUGCAGAACGUACUAACUCCCCAAAGAGACCAAUCUACUUUUGAACAUCUUUCUUUUCUCCUUAUGAUAAAGAGAAACUUAUAAAGUCUUCUACUGAGAAUGAAGCUUCAAGUAAAGAAAAGAAAAAUACAACACAAACCUUGGAUUUCAGAAUCAGAUUUGGGACAAAUGACUAGCUUUAUCUUUCCAAUAGCUAUGUGACUUUGUGAAUUUAUUUAACUUUUCUGAGCCUGUACUAUAAAGGGAAAUAAUGAUUGCCAACUCCUGAAAUUGUUAAGAAUGAUGAUAAUGAAAAUAAUAGCUAACUCUUACUGGCUAUAUUACUGUUUGUCAGGUCUAUACAUUGUUUCACAUACUUCUAACAAGAACCCCAUAAAGUGGAUACCAAUGUUAUCCCCACUUUUCAGUUGAAGAAACAGAGGCAAAGAGGCUUAGAAACUUGCUGAUGGCCACACAGUUGCACUUAACCACUCUUCUAGACAGGCUUUUUAUAAAAGAGAGUUCCUAUCAAGGUCCAGCUAGUCCUGAUCCUGCUUAGCUCCAGUGUUCAGAAAAGACCAGGUAUUUUAAGGAGAUAAGGUGAUAGAAAAUGAAUAAGCUAAUAGACGUGACAGAGCUUCACACAUCAACACUACCACAGAGCUUGACAUAUCGAUACAUUUGAAUUCAUUUUACCUUCCAUCUUCUUCAGCUUAAGAAGCCACAAUUCUGCUAACAAUUCUCAGUAAGAAUUGUUUGAAAUUUCCUCUCAAUCCAGAUUUUUUUCUCUACUUGUGUUAUUUGUUUAUAUCCAUGAAGUACCUAUACUGAACUUAACACCCUGGGUCUAAUCUGACCAGCCUCAAUAUGAAUCCAUCAUCUCCCUUGUUUUUCAUGUGUGGUUUUUUGUUUUUUUGUGUUUUUUUUUGGUAGAGUCUCCCUCUGUUGCCCAAGCUGGAGUGCAGUGCCCUGAUCUCAGCUCACUGCAACCUCCGCCUCCAGUGUUCAAGUGAGUCUCCUACCUCAGCCUCCCAAGUAUCUGGGAUUACAGGCGCCCGCCACCAUGCCUGGUUAACUUUUUUGUAUUUUUAGUAGAGACAGGGUUUUACCAUGUUGGCCAGGCUGGUUUCGAACUCCUGACCUCAAGUGAUCCACCCGCCUCAGCCUCCCAAAGUGCUGGGAUAGCAGGUGUGAGCCACCACGCUCAGUCCAUCUUCCUUGUUUUGAAUGUGAAUAUUCUCAAUGUCAUCCAAAAUCACUUUAGCUUCGAGGGUAGCCACUGUUAUACCUUUGGUUCAUAAGCUUUAUCUCUUGCCUGCCUGGCACUGCUUCCUUCUUAAACCAAAGUAUCCUGUCUUAACAUGUAUUGGUACAAUUCUCUUAGAAAGCCAGUUGAUAAUAUAAAAAAGUACCUUAAAGAUGUAUAUCCCUUUGGCUACUAUCAAAAGAUGAGAGAUAACAAGUGUUGGUGAGGAUAUGGAGAAAAGGAAACUGUUGAUGGGCGUGUAGAUUGGUGCAGUCAUGAAAAAUAGUACAUAGGUUGCCACAUAAAUUAAAAUUAGAACUACCAUAUGACCCAGCAAUUUUCUUCUGGGUAUGCAUUCAAAAGAAAUAAAAUCACCACCUUGUAAAAAUAUCUGCAUUUUCAUGGUCACUGCAACAUUAUACACAAUAAAUAUCUGUCCACUGAGGGACAAAUGAAUAAACUGUGAUGUAUGGGUGUGUGUGUGUACAAUAUUAUUCAGUCUUAAAAGAGGAAAUCCUGCCAUUUACUACAACAUGAAUGAACUUGGAAGACAUUAUGCUAGGUGAAACAAGCCAGGCACAGAAAUAAAAAAAAAUUAUAUAAUCUCACUUAUAUGUGAAACCUAAAUUUUUAAAAAAGUCAAACACACAGAGAUAGAGAAUAAAACAGCGAUUACCAAGGACUGGGGGCUUGGGGCCAUGGGAGAUGUAGGUCAAAGUAUUCAAAGUAGCAGAUGCAGAGGAUAAGCAAGUCUAGAGAUCUAAUGUACAACAUAAGGACUGUAGUUAAUAAUAUUGUUUUGUAUUCAGGAUUUUUGUUUACUGAGUAGAUUUUAGCUGGUGUUGCUGCAAAAAUAAGGGUAACUAUGUGAUAUGAUGUAUAUGUUAACUUUCUUUACUAUAGUAACCAUUUUUCUACUUAUAUGUAUCCUAUACCUUCAUGUUGCAUACCUUAAAU